Molecule: long non-coding RNA, 5459 nt
Filed under: Ficedula albicollis (Collared flycatcher)
Lineage: Eukaryota; Metazoa; Chordata; Aves; Passeriformes; Muscicapidae
Description: lncRNA (ENSFALG00000011947.2)
Source: RNAcentral
GGGUUCCUUCCCAGUGCUUAGUUUCUCCAUGAGAUAUUGAGCUGGUGUGCAUGGCCCAAGAAGCUGAGAGUGGCAGGAGUCUCUGCUUAGUCCCACUCUGCCUCCUGUGUCCGUCUUGUGUGAGUGUAUCUUUGCACACAAGAGUCCAUACAAAUCAAUGUGACCCAGCUGUGGGGGGCACGGACAGAACUCAUCAGUGCCUGUGUCCUGAUUUGAGCCUGGAGUGGUUUGUAGGGCCAAGAAGGAGAGCCCUGGCCACACCACCGAGCUGUCUUGUGGCCAGUGUUGGCUGUGUGCAGUAGCAGCAUGAGGAGCUCUGUUGAGUGCAGGGGAUGCCCAAGGCAUCAGCUGUGUGUGAGCUGGUGCCCUGCAUUGGUGUCUCUGUCCUGUCUGUUUCUAAUUGUCUGUCUUGUUGUCGCCUCCCAGGCUGUGACUGCGUCUGGUCGGACUGGAUUGACAUGACUUACCCAAAUGCUUCUGACAAGGACAGUGGUGACUACGAAACCUUUGAGAACAUUUGGAAGAACUUCCCCUCCUGGGAGUGUGCAAAAGUUGAAAAUGUUUCUUGCCGAUCAGAGAAAUUCCCUAACAUUCCCAUUGCAGAUUUAGGGCAGAAAGUGGAAUGUAGUGUUGACGUAGGUCUCGUCUGUAACAAUAAAGACCAGCAGAUAGGAGGUAUAAUUCCAAUGCCAGUCUGCCUCAACUAUGAGAUCAGUGUCUGCUGCACCCCCAACCGCCCAGAGUGUCUUCCAACUCCAAGCACCCCGAGCACCCCAAGCACCACACCUUCCACAGCUUCACCCACAACGACCAGUGUGUCCACUCCAAGAUCAACAACCACUCCAACGCCAACACCAGAGACUCCCAGCAGUACCACCCCUACCACCACCACCACCACUACGACCACGAUGUCCCCCAGCACCCCCACCACCAGUGGCAGCACCUCACAGACAACACCAACUGUUCCUGUCUCAACUACACCCAUUUCAACUACUUCAAGCACAGCCACGCCCACACCAACAUACACCACCACCACACCAACUCCAGUCACGCCGAGCAAAGCAUCCACUACACCAGAAUUGCCAACCACAUCACCGGAGACUCACAGUACCACCACGACCACCACCAGCUCUCCGACCACAACCACAACUGGUACUGGAUCACCAACACCCACCUCAACUACUUCAAGCACAUCCUCUCCCACACCAACAUACACCAACACCCUGCCAACUCCAGUCACACCUCCAUCCACACCAAGCACACCAAAAUCAACAACCACUCCCCCAACCCCAGAGACUACCACCACCACCACCACCAGUCCUCCGAGCACAACAACCACUGUUCCUGGAACAACAACAACCAUCUCAACUCCUGGAAGCACACCUCCACCCACACCGAGCACACCACAAUCGACAACGACUCCCUCAACACCAGAGACUACCACCACCACCACCACCAGCCCUCCGAGCACAACAACCACUGUUCCUGUACCAACACCAACACCCACUUUGACUACUUCAAGCACAUCCUCACCAACACCAACAUACACGACCACCCUACCGACUCCAACCCCACCUACGUCCACACCGAGCACACCAAAAUCGACAACGACUCCCUCAACACCAGAGACUACCACCACCACCACCACCAGCCCUCCGAGCACAACAACCACUGUUCCUGGACCAACAACUACUACCUCAACUCCUGGAAGCACACCUCCACCCACACCGAGCACACCAAAGUCGACAACAACUCCCUCAACACCAGAGACUACCACCACCACCACCACCAGCCCUCCGAGCACAACAACCACUGUUCCUGGACCAACAACUACUACCUCAACUCCUGGAAGCACACCUCCACCCACACCGAGCACACCAAAGUCGACAACAACUCCCUCAACACCAGAGACUACCACCACCACCACCACCAGCCCUCCGAGCACAACAACCACUGUUCCUGUACCAACACCAACACCCACUUUGACUACUUCAAGCACAUCCUCACCAACACCAACAUACACGACCACUCUACCAACUCCAGCCCCACCUACGUCCACACCGAGCACACCAAAAUCGACAACAACUCCCUCAACACCAGAGACUACCACCACCACCACCACCAGCCCUCCGAGCACAACAACCACUGUUCCUGUACCAACACCAACACCCACUUUGACUACUUCAAGCACAUCCUCACCAACACCAACAUACACGACCACUCUACCAACUCCAGCCCCACCUACGUCCACACCGAGCACACCAAAAUCGACAACAACUCCCUCAACACCAGAGACUACCACCACCACCACCACCAGCCCUCCGAGCACAACAACCACUGUUCCUGGACCAACACCCAGCUCAACUCCUGAAAAUAUUAUCACCAUAACCCAACCGGUUCCACCCACAGAAGCAAUAAAGGGUACCACAACACCUGAACCAGAGACGUCGACAAAGACAAACACUCCAGUUACUCCUUCAACUACCCCUCUGCCAACAACAAGAACAACAGAAGUAAGUACACCUACUGCAAGCACCACUAGUCAACAGUCAACAUCACCAGUGUCAACAAGCCCAGUGACAGCUACCACCUCUGAAGUCACUGAAACAACACCAACCACCAAGACCACCACUUCAGGUCCCACACCCUCAAGAUCCACCAGCACCACACCAGUAACAGAAACACCUUAUCAUGAGACCACUACCAUCAGGACCCCAAGCCCCCAAUCUACCACCACUUCCAGCCCUGGCACCACCACAACCUCGGGACCAAGCAGCACUACAGUAACACCACCACCAAUAACAACAACCACCAAGACCACCACUUCAGGCCCCACACCCUCAGUGUCCACUCCCCCCACCACCACAGGAGGAACCGAAAUAAGUACCCCAGGGACAACCUCUGCAACUGUUACUACUCCAACAACAUCACCUGCAUCAACCAGCCCUGUGUCAACCACCACCUCUGGUACUACUCCAACAGAAAGCUUUACCACCACUUCAGGAACCACCUCCGUCAAUGUAACCACCACCUCCACCACAUUCACAACCCUUCCCCCUAGCUCAACUACUACAUCUGGGCCAACUGCAACAUCAACUGCAGUCACCACUACAGGAAGUUCUACGCACAGUGCAACUCCUCCAGUUAAUGGCUCAAGUUCAACUACAAGUCUAACACCAACCACUCCUAAAAAGACUUGUACUAUUUUCCCUAAUGAAUCUUAUGAGCAAGGUGACUCAUGGUGGCUCUGUAACUGCACUAAGGCAAUAUGUAUAGAAGACAACAUUGUCCAGGUGAUUCCAGUAAUCUGCAAUCCACCUCCGAAACCCACAUGUGCCAAUGGACUGUCUCCUGUGCCAGUCAUUGAUGAGGAUGGAUGCUGUUGGCACUGGGAGUGUGAUUGCUACUGCACUGGCUGGGGAGAUCCACAUUACAUGACUUUUGAUGGAUUGUACUACAGCUUUCAAGGAAAUUGUACAUAUGUCCUUGUGGAAGAGAUCAUUAAGAACGUUGACACCUUUGGUGUCUACAUUGAUAACUACCAUUGUGAUACACGGGAUGUAGUGUCCUGUCCUCGAACGCUCAUUGUGAGACACGAGACUCAGGAAAUCAGGCUAAGAACAGCAGAACCAAAUACUCUACAAGUAGAGGUGACAGUAAACAACCAGCUCGUGGCUUUACCUUAUAAAAAGUUUGGCGUGAGCAUCUAUGAGUCAGGCAUAAAUCGUGUUGUGGAAAUUCCUGAGCUGAAAAUGAAUGUGACCUACAAUGGCUUGUCCUUUUCUAUCAGAAUGCCCUACAGCCUGUUUGGCAACAACACCCAGGGACAGUGUGGUACUUGCAAUAACAACACAGCAGAUGACUGCAUGCUGCCAGAUGGAAAAAUUAUAGAUAACUGUGAAAUCAUGGCAGAUCAUUGGCAAGUUAAUGAUCCUUCCAAACCACAGUGCUCUCCAAGCCUAGUUCCUACAGGUUCACCAAGCACAACACCAACACAGCCUUGCAAAGAAUCUUCCAUCUGCGAGCUUCUUUUGGGAAGUGUGUUCAAGCCAUGCCAUUCCUUUGUCCAGCCUGAAAAGUACUAUGCAGCCUGUGUUUUUGAUAGCUGUGUACUUCCCAACCUAGACCUGGAAUGCUCAAGUCUGCAGAUCUAUGCUGCCACCUGUGCUGAUCAAGGCGUGUGCAUUGACUGGAGAAAACACACCAAUGGUGUCUGCUCUCAUGAAUGUCCUCCUGGUAAAGAAUACAGAGCAUGUGGUCCUAUUAAAGAGAUGACCUGCAAAUCAAGAGGACAGAAUGACACAUCAACUAAACAAGUGGAAGGCUGUUUCUGUCCUAAUGGAACCAUGCUGUAUGACUCUGGUGUGGAUGUCUGCGUGAAAACUUGUGGCUGUGUUGGAGUGGAUAUGAUACCAAGAGAGUUUGGAGAAAAGUUUACAGUGGACUGUCAGGACUGCAUUUGCCUGGAAGGUGAACAUGGCAUUGUAUGUCAACCUCAUGUAUGUGAUCAGAAGAAGGUCACUUGUGAUGGAGAAGGCUUCUAUGAAGUCACCGAAGUCAAUCCUAAAGACCCCUGCUGCCCUCUUUUCACUUGCAAAUGCAAUACAAGCUUGUGCACAGCCAAAGCCCCCAAGUGCUCACUGGGAUUCGAAGUUCAUUCUCAUAUUCCCAGUGGUCAGUGCUGUCCUGUAUACCAAUGUGUUCCCAAGGGGGUUUGCGUACACGAGAAUGCUGAGUUCUUGCCCAACUCCUCAGUCUUUGUUGACAAGUGUCAGAAUUGUGUGUGCACAAACGAUGUUAACGUCAGCACUCAACUGAACAUCAUCUCCUGUCAACAUGUCCCCUGCAGCACAUACUGUGAACCAGUAAGUGGCAAGCUUAAAGAAACUAAAGACCCCAAAAUACCCAUAUAUUUUAUAAACUUUAAAAAUGAUCCUCACAACAACUGCACCAUUUAUAGCUGUGUGGAUGUCCACAACCAGCUUAUCGCUUCCACAUCUGAGAUUACCUGUCCAGCAUUCAAUGAGGAGAGCUGCAAACCUGGAACUAUUUCUUUCUUACCUAACGGUUGUUGCAAAACCUGUAAGUAUGCCAGUGUAUCUGAAUCAACAAUACCGAGAAUGAAUUUGCUGUACCUGAUUUCACCCUCUCCUAUAUGUUGGCUUCUGGCACAGAGUAACAUUGCCAUUUUGCAUGUUAACAGAUACUCUGCUGAGGCUAAUUCUAUGGACCACAGCUGCUCCUGCUGCAGAGAAACAAGGACCACUGAGAAGCAUGUGGUUCUGAAAUGCCCCGGUGGGCACUCAGUGUCACACAAGUACAUCUAUGUGGAGAGCUGCAGCUGUCAAGACACUGCAUGCAGCAGGCCCCAGUCCAAUGACCUGCAGAGCAACAAAGAAAAUGACAAGGCGAGCACUCUGAGCCGGGUCAAGAGAGCCAUCAGCUUAACAUCAAAAUGA